Oxyura jamaicensis (ruddy duck) is the source of this 1286-nucleotide long non-coding RNA. RefSeq lists it as uncharacterized. The record is from RefSeq and is a predicted model, not a curated record. Lineage: Eukaryota; Metazoa; Chordata; Aves; Anseriformes; Anatidae. The transcript is spliced from 3 exons.
AUCUCUUUCAAACAGAUACGGCAAUUCCAUCUAUCAAAUUCCCCUGAAGAACACUCCUGCUGCCGAGAAGAAUUCACACCUUGUAGUUCGGCUGCAACCGAACUGACAAGCGAGGCAGAGAAGUGAAACGGUGGGGAACCAGUGGAGGGAGAGGCUGAAUAAAGCCCAUUAAAACACCCCGAGAAAAAUGGCUUUCAAUCACCUCCUCCAAUGCAUAGGAAUCAGUAUCCUGAUACUGGCAGGCUGUGGGUUUGCACAUCACCCCCACCAACCUUUUAAGUGGAGCCUGAUUCAGUGGGAAAGCCAAAAGGUCAUUGCAACCCAGAUAACAGUAGGAGGACCAAGUUUUAACGCCACCCUAUGUCAGCUGGUUCCGAGGCCCCGAUGUUGGGAAUAUAUGGGAUUUUAUAUGUGCCCUAGUUCGAAUCCUGGAAAGGGGUACUGUAAUGCCCCUAAUCAAUAUUAUUGUAGUUACUGGGGUUGCGAGACCAUAGCUCCUAGUUGGAUACCGGGGGACGGUAUAGAUAAAUAUUUAAAGGUCCAGUGGGGUCCAUAUGGGUGUAUCCCACCAGGGGGAUGGAAACGUGGAAACUGUAAAUUCCUUUUUUUUAAUGUCACCCAACCCACGGAUGUAGGAUGGGCCCUAGGGAAAAUGUGGGGUGUAAGGUAUUGGGAACCUGGGACUGAUAGAGGAGGACUAAUAUUAAUAAAGAAGGAGGAAGUGGGAACUUCCCAGUCAGUGGGACCGAAUAAGGUACUAUUGGAGGAAGCCCCAAGAGCUAAGACUACAGAGGCCCCUGGGACAUUAACUCCUAGCGGUUCGGUAGUGGUUCCUACGGGGGGGAGAAGAGACCGGAAAUGAAAUUACAUCUGAGAAUGAAAUCAUACCUGAGAACAAUAUGUGGAAGGUUAUAAAUACUAGUUAUCAGGUAUUGAACCAAACAAAUCCAAAUAUAACCAAACGUUGCUGGCUGUGUGUUAGUAUAAGACCCCCGUACUACGAAGCUAUUGGGGAUUUAGCUAACCUCACUCGUUCAAAUGAAAGCAACCCUUCACAAUGUAACUGGGGUAAGAAUAUAGGAAUAACACUGACUCAAGUAUCUGGAAGUGGUAGGUGCGUGGGCACAGUUCCCAAAGGAAAGAGUAAGUUAUGUAAUAUCACAGAAAGUGGAGACCAGUCAGCCCAAUGGUUAAUUCCAGCUAAUAAUACUAGGUGGGUUUGUUCGUCUGUAGGGGUAACUCCUUGUCUGUCACUAAAACUUUUCAACGCGUCUCAUGAUUUUUGU